GUAAUUUAAAGAGACAACGCUGUUUGAUGCAGAAUUUACACAUUAUUGAUACACACAUAUAUAGUUAAACUGGGAACGAUUUAACAGUUAAUUAACAAAUAUAGCUUGCUUUCUGAAUUAUUGGAUGACUUUUGUGUUUAUUGUAGCGGAUGCUAGUAGGUAACUUAACUGGUAACGUUAGUGUAUAUGUUGUAUAUGAGCACAUUCUACAUCUGACGUUAUCAUUGUGCUUCAGAGUGUUGUGCAAUAACAGGCUGUACAAUAAAUCUACUUAAUUAGCUGUCAAUAUAUCCAAUGACCAAUAGCCUUGUUGAAGUGUAAAACACUGAAUGUUUCAUACUCAAGAUAAUUUACAAGACUGCGUAAUGACUGUCUGUGUCUACUGAUCUAUUUUCCACCUUCUCCAUUGUUUCCCAGAAUGGGUGGAUUUAAAGAUGCAUACCAAGAUGUUCAGCCAGUAACCCUUCGACUUGCAGAAGGAAAUGUCAUUUCCAGUCUCUACUGCAGCUCAGCCGAGGGCAUUGAAGCUCACGUGUCCACUUUAGUGGAAGCUUUUUUUUAGUUGAAGUGUACCGAUGUAGAGUCUGUCAGUUUACCAGCAGCCAAAAAGCCAAGAUUAGCCAUCAUGUCUUGGAAAUGAUGACAGAAUUUUCAUUUGGAGUGAACAGUCUAAUUUAUUAAGUUUGAAAUGUGAGAAAAUGCAACUGUAAAUGUUUUUUUGAAGGUAAGCACGCUCUUUGAGGAGGAUAGGCAUGAUGAGGACAUCGAGGAGGAACCUGUGUUUCAGCUGGAGGAUGCUAACACAGAUCAGGCCGUUCCUUUGAACAGUGGAAUGGACACAGAAAUCCAGGAUGAAGAGAUGGCCCAGUCGGCUCAUCUCAUGACUCUUGGGUUGUGCAGAAUUUCAAGCACUAAGUGUCAACCUCAGUCUGCGACCUCAGCAAAAAGCCUGUCCCAUCCAGAAGGUGAACAGGUUGCUGGACAUGUCAACAUGGAUGCUGAAAUGCAGAAGCCAUCUGAGGAAGAUGGCGGAUUGGCCUGCAUCCUCUGUCAGAUAGUUGUAUCCAGUCGUAGUAUGCUAGAGGUGCACCUGAAAUGCCAUAGUGGAGACCAAGGCUUUAGGUGCCCUCGCUGUGGUUGGGAAUCAGAAGACUGGGUUGAUAUGGAGCAGCACUGGAGAGGACAUGGUAAAAGAAAAGGCUCAAAGAGGCAUAAAUGUAGCGUUUGCCCCAGGACAUUUAGGAGAGUUGACUCUCGUGACGCACAUGAAGAAAGGCAUAAUCAGCGGCAUCACUGUCGGUCUGUGACUGGGGGUCUGGUGCAGUGUUCUCUGUGCCUGGAAUGGUGUCUCUCAGGGAAGGAGUGGGUGAUACACCAACAAAGUCAUUUUCAAGGAGGCUUUAAAUGUUUAGAUUGUGAUUUCAAAGAGAAGUCAUGGAAUAAGACCCUGAAACAUAUUCACACUCAACACAAACAGCUUGACACAAGUCAAAAGAAACAGGUUGCUCACAGUAGGUAAGUAUCAAAUGUUUUCAUUCAAAUUCAUUUUUUUU
Sinocyclocheilus grahami is the source of this 1553-nucleotide long non-coding RNA. Lineage: Eukaryota; Metazoa; Chordata; Actinopteri; Cypriniformes; Cyprinidae. The record is from Ensembl.